RNAcentral lists this ribosomal RNA (253 nucleotides) under uncultured bacterium. Its description in RNAcentral is "partial 16S ribosomal RNA". It matches the Rfam family "Bacterial small subunit ribosomal RNA", at positions 524 to 776 of the family's 1533-position model. The record is from RNAcentral.
UACGUAGGGGGCAAGCGUUGUCCGGAUUUAUUGGGCGUAAAGAGCGCGCAGGCGGUCGUCCAAGUCGCGUGUGAAAGCCCCCGGCUCAACUGGGGAGGGUCACGCGAUACUGGUCGACUCGAAGGCAGGAGAGGGUAGUGGAAUUCCCGGUGUAGUGGUGAAAUGCGUGGAUAUCGGGAGGAACACCAGUGGCGAAGGCGACUACCUGGCCUGUUCUUGACGCUGAGGCGCGAAAGCUAGGGGAGCAAACGGG